CUUUUCACGUGAAGCUAGAUAAACCGGGUCUGUCUCCGCUCAGUUGAAGGGUUCGGCCGCGUUAGUAAGGAAGUACUCUGAUCUCGCCGUUCAGUCGUGUACCGCGAUCUCAACGAGCAGCAUCUCCGCACCGGCUUACUAUAUACCGACGAACAUGUCUGAACAACUAUCCGAAGGACAGUCCUGGCCUGAGCUUAAGGGCAAGACGUGGGCGGAAGCUGAAAAAUAUUUGAAGGAGAAUCAUCCUAAUCUGGAUGUAAUCAGGACACCUGAGAAUUCAGGGAUAACCAUGGAUCUGCGGAUGGACCGGGUACGUGUGUUCGUGGACGAUAAUGACAAGGUGGUGGACGUCCCUGUGACUGGAUAAGCCGUGCAUUUACUACGUUUAAUACUGUUGUCUAAACAUGCUUACAAGAGGCAUAAGCUGGGGCAGAUAUAAACUCAAAAGAUUUUGCAGUGAACAUGUUAUGUAAAUGCCUUCAUGGAGACGUCUUUGUCCAGCUGUUAUUGUUCUCCACUGCAUGGAAAUGUAUGGAGACUCACGUUGUUCCAAAUUGAUAUGUUGCCUUCUUUGUGAAUUGUGUUCGCCACAAGACUAUUGCUACGUGUCUGUGUUAACUAAAGUGUACAUGCCUAGAAAAAUGGUUAUAAAUGCCGUUUUUAUAAACAGCUUUACAGCUUCCGUUUUUGUUGACAAUUAUAUUCUCAACCAUU
This is a long non-coding RNA of Liolophura sinensis, 714 nucleotides long. RefSeq lists it as uncharacterized. The transcript is spliced from 3 exons. NCBI's taxonomy places the organism in Eukaryota, Metazoa, Mollusca, Polyplacophora, Chitonida, Chitonidae. The record is from RefSeq and is a predicted model, not a curated record.